AACAUGAUAUAGUCUGAAAGCCUCUAAACUAUCAGAGGACAUGUCCCCAACUAACUCUAACUGCUGAAAUAAAGUAAGUACUGAAAGAAUGAAAUAAUCAAAUAAUAACAUCAUUGAAUGAUGAGGACUCACUGCUAGUCUGUCUGCUGAACGUCUGAUCUACUAAGGGUGCUCUGGAGCUCAUACUUCUGAACCUAUGGUAUAAAACACCAUAGCGCAAAUGCGUCAGUACGGUUGAAAGUACUGGUAUGCAAAUGAGGUAGGUAGAAUGCAAGGGAUUUAUAUGCAUGAACAAUACUAACUAACUAUAUAACAUGAGCAUUAGAAUACACACAUAAAUACGUGAACUGUGACUGAGAUCAUGACAUCACUAAAUCUGAAUACUGAUAACAUAAGUAUCGUAUAACUGAUAUACUAUUAUCUGAAUGACUGUGUCUGACAGUUUAUUUCUGAUGGAACUAGCUGAGUUUCGUACUGAACUGGGUGAUUGUAUCUGAAAGUUUUGGAUUCUGUAGAACUAUUAGAAUUCUAUUACUGAGAUGGAGACUGUAACUGUCAGAAGUAGUCAUCUAAACAACAUACCCCAAAUAAGAUAAUAUAAUUGAGUUGGGGUCCAAUCUUUAACCCCAAUUGGAAGGGUGUCAAUACCGCACCACUGGUAAGGAUAAGUUGUGAGUAAUCUCUCAUCUAACAGGUACUCAAAGGAGAAUGGUGGGACCCUUAUAUAAAAGGUUAAGCCAUCUCAUCUACCCUCAACUAGCAGGUUUGAAGUCUCAACCAACGUUGGCUACGUAGUUAUAGAGAGCAAGGAUUGCUUCUAAGAAUGACACCCUCUAAUAACAGGUGAGUUCCCAUCCUUGGGCUCACUCGGUGCUGAAUCCUACUCCCAUCUUAAUAGACACUGAACAUGAUUAACAAAACUAAAUUGGACUAUGUUCACUGAGUUCCAUUGACUAAUGGAAUACUACUGAGAUUACUGAAUUUCUGAGAUUUCUGAGAUUACUGUGUUUACUGAGUUUUCCUAAGUCGCAUGACUGAUUAAGUUCUAUGAAUUAUGCCUUGACUGAGAGUAUCUGGAAAACAUGACACUAGCUCUAGGCACACAGCUAAAUUGUAGGGUACAAGUACCCCCAGGACUCGAGAGCAUGAAACUGACAAAACAUGACACUUCUUGACACAUGACCAUAGUCAACAAUUCAUAGUACAAUUAUUGGGGAUUUUUACAAAGUUUUUGCAUGCUAUAAGCUUACACAUGAGUAGGAAUACAGGUAAACAUAUCAUAAUUUCAUAAGCCUAAUCUCAUGAGCAUUACGUCAAUCUAUUACAAAGCAUAACAAUAACUUGGGAGUUAUAUCAAACAUAAGAGAGAAAUAUGGAUUCAUCAAUUUUGGUCACAAAUGAGUCAUAAGAUAUAAUUCCUAUUCUCUUAGGUAUUUAUCAAACACCUUGCAUGCAUAUCUUUAGGCUUAGUCAUGAAUAUUGAAAUAAUACUUAGGCAUAUCUUGCUUUCUUUCACCUCGGAUAGUAGAGAUUAUUCUAAACUGUUCUGAACCCAUAUACUACCUUCUGCUAAAUAGACUAAGCGGACACCUAGUCGGGCAAGUUGAUGGACUUCUUGACCUAAAUUCUUCUUACUGUCCUCAAUAUGAGCAACACUACCCAUAGACAGUCUACUGAGAGCGUCGUCCAUUACAUUGGCAUUUCUUGGAUCAUAAAGGACACUCAUAUGGUAAUCUUUCAAUAGCUCUAACCUCCUUGUCUGACGGAAGUUAAGAUCUUUUUAAGAGAAUACAUACUGAAGGCUCUUUUGAUCUGUGAAUAUAUCUACACGAACACCGUACAAGUAAUGCCUCCAAAUUUGUAAGGCAAAAACUAUAACUACUAACUCAAGAUCAUGAGUUGGAUAAUUCUUCUCAUGGGGUUUAAGCUAUCUGGAGGUGUAGGCUAUGACCUUACCAUACUGCAUGAGGACACAACCCAAACCUACUCUAGAUACAUCACAGUACACUACGAAUCCAUUUGAACAGUUUAAAAGAGUCAAAACUGGAGCUGAAGUAUGUCGACUCUUCAACUCCUGAAAACUCUUUUUGCAUGAAUCUGAAUACAAAAAAUUGACUUUCUUCUGAGUCAAUAUGGACAUAGGGGAUGCAAUAGAUAAAAAUCCUUUAACAAACCGACGGUAAUAGCCAACCAAACCUAAGAAACUCCUGAUAUCUGAUAGAGAGAUGGGUCUGGGCUAGUUUCUCACUGCUUCAGUCUUUUGAGGAUCAAUUCUAAUGUUAUCACCGGAGAUAUUAUAACCAAGGAAUGCUACUGACCUUUGCCAAACUCGCACUUACUGAAUUUGGCAAAUAGCUGAUGAUUUUUGAAAGUCUGCAACACUAUUCUGAGAUGAUCUGCAUGAUCUUGCUUGCUACGGGAAUAGACAAAAAUAUCAUCAAUACUAUAAUGAACAUGUCCAAGUACUACUUGAACACACGGUUCAUCAAUUCUAUGAAAGCUGCUGGGGCAUUGGUAAGACCAAAGGAUAUGACUAAGAAUUCGAAGUGACCAUACCGAGUUUGGAAAGCUAUUUUUGGAAUAUCACAUUCUCUGACUCUGAGCUGAUGAUAGCCUGAUCUGAGGUCCAUCUUAGAAAAAUAGAUGGCACCCUGAAAUUAAUCAAACAAGUCAUCGAUUCUGGGAAGUGGAUACUUAUUCUUAAUGGUGACUUUAUUGAGCUGAAGGUAGUCUCUACGCAUUUUGAGAGAACCAUAUUUCUUGCGCACGAAUAAUACUGGUGCGCCCCAUGGGGACACAUUGGGUCUGACGGAUCCUUUAUCUAGGAGAUCCUUCAACUGUUCUUUUAACUCUCUAAGUUCUGCUGGUGUCAUUCUAUAUGGCAGAAUAGAUAUAGGCUGCGUAUCUGGAAGAAGAUUAAUACUGAAGUCUAUUUUCCUUUCGGGAUGAAUUCCUGGAAGAUCUUUGGGAAAGACAUUUAAAUAUUUAUUCACUACUGGGACAGAUUCGAGACUGGGAGUAUCGAAACUAGUGUUCUUAACUCAAACAAGAUAAUAGACACAUCCCUUAGAUAUCAUUUUUCAUGCCCAAAGGUAGGAAAUAAGUUGACCUCUAAAAACUGAUGUACUACCCUUUCACUCUAUGAUAGGUUCAUUCGAGAACUGAAACUGGAAAACUCUAUUUUUGCAAUCAACUGUGUCAUAGAAGUAAUAAAGCCAAUCCAUGCCGAGAAUGACAUCAAAAUCAGUCAUCUCUAAUUCGACAAAGUUUGUUGAAGUGACUUUCUGAGAUACCAUAACUGGACAUUUCCUGUAUACCUGUCGGGCAAUGAUAGUUUUACCCAUUGGGAUAUAGACUGAGAAGGGCUUAACUAAAAUUUUGGGACUGACUCCAAAAUGAACUGAUAUUUAAGGAUUAAUAAAAGAAAAAAAAGCUCUUGGAUCUAGCAAAGCGUAAACAUGUACAUGAAAGAUCUAUAACGUACCAGUAAUCACAUAAGGAGAAUUUUCCUAAUCUUGUCAGGACUUAAGAGCAUAGAGUCUGUUUGGGCUUUGCCCACUAGUUGCACUGCAAGUUGCACCCUGUUGAUUUAGGCAAUCGUACAAAGAUGGAGGGCGAUUAAGCUGACCCUAAGGACUUGGCAGGGGACAAUCUCUAACUUUGUGGCCUGGCUUACCACAUCCCAAGCAAAUAUUACUGUCAGCUCUGCAAGUACCCUGAUGGUGCUUGCCACAUGUCUGACAAAGAGAAUAGGUUCGGUUACUACUAACACUGCCCUGAGACUUAGAGCCUGGCGCCCUAUCUCUAUUGCUGUCUUUGAAUUUUGGCACUGGAGCACUGGCUGGGGAAGGAGCUGGAACGGAUGACUUUGGGUGGAACUGAGAAUGACUUCCACCCUCUGACUUAGGCUGAGCAAAGUUAAAACUACCUGUCCUUUCUCUCUUAUUCUACUUCUCUCUCAUCUUAAUUUUUUGCUCUUCUAUCUGUUAAGCAUGGAUCAUAAGCCUGGAUAUGUCCAUCUCACUAAUCAACAUUGUAGAUCUGCACUCAUUGACCAUACUAUCAUUCACCUUAAAAACAAACUUACUCAUCUUAGCCCUACUGUCUGAUACUACAUGAAGAACAUAUCUAUCUAGUUGAGUAAACUUAAGAGAAUACUCUUUCACUGUCAUGUUGCCCUACCUGAGGUUAAUAAAUUCUAAACCUUAGCUUCCCUCAGCUCUAGGGGAAAGAAUCUACCUAUAAAAGCAGUGGAAGACUCCUUCCACUCUAUAGGUCUUACAUCUACACCCCUCUCAGCUUUUUACUAUUUGAACCAUGUGUGAGCCAUAUUCUGCAAUUGAUAUACAGCUAGCUCAGCACUCUCACUAGCAGUAACUCCCAUGAUAUUUGUAACCUUUUAAACCAGAUCAAGGAAUUCUUGAGGGUCCUCGUCUAAUUUAGAACCAAAAAAGGAUGGAGGAUUCAUUUGGGUGAAGUCUUGAAUCCUGGCUGUAGCAGUAUUGGCCACUGGGUUGGCCAAAACUACAGUUGGUCGUUCAUUCUGGGAAGCAAUUGGAUUAGCAAGAGUAGUAAAUACAGCUCUAAACUCUGCAUAAGAAAUAUGUUCGUCCAAGGGAUCUACUUGGAUGAGCUGAGGGGUGACUAAUUUUCGUUUCUUCUUUUGGAAGGCAUGUUCUGUAGAAGAAAGAAAGAAAUGAAUUAAACUAAGAGUUAAAUUUGAGCUCAUGCUCACAGGCACGAUAUGAAUACUGAAAGAAGGGAAAUUAUUUCUAAAAUAUCUUAUAGUCUCCUGUACAUAAAUGUGACGUGCAACACACCCAUAUACAAGACUGUACUAGGUGAGGAUUUUAGACUUCCUAGGACACUAUUGAACCUUAGGAUCUGAUACCAAGUUUGUAAUACCCUAAAUAUGGUACCCGGAAUGCUACACAGUGCUCAUAACCUCGAAGGACCACAAGCUAACCCAUGUCUGAUAUCUGUAACUGGGUACUAUAUAAUAUGUUGUAUAAAUGUGGAAAAGAGUUAAAAGGCCAUAAGGUUUAAAUAUCUAAUAAAAUAUAACAUCUGGAAAUACGGUAUAUCAAUACCAAAAUAAAAUUGAAAUAACUGUUUGAAUAUGCUAUAGUCUGAAAGUCUCUAAACUAUCUAAAUAAGGAGUUGAUAGGACAUGUCCCCAACUAACUUCAACUGCUAAAAUAAACUAAGUACUAAAAGAAUGAAAUAAUCAAAUAAUAAUAUCCUCGAAUGAUGAAGACUCACAUCUAGUCUGUCUGCUAAACGGCUGAUCUACUAAGGGUGCUCUAGAGCUCGUACUUCUGAACCUACGGUAUAAAACACUAUAGUGCAAAUACGUCAGUAUGAUUGAAUAUAUUGGUAUGCAAGUGAGGUAGGCUGAAUGCAAGGGGUUUAUAUGCAUGAAUAGUACUAACUGACUGAAUAUCAUGAGCGUGAGAAUCCAUGCAUGAAUACGUGAACUUUGACUAAGAUCAUGACAUCACUGAAUCUGAAUACUAAUAACAUAAGUUUCGUAUAACUUAUCUACUAUUACUUGAAUGGUUGUUUCUAACAGUCCUUUUUCUGAUAGAACUAACUGAGUUUCGUACUAAAAUGGGUGACUGUAUCUGUCAGUCCUGGAUUUUGUAGAAUUAUUUGAGUUCUAUUACUGAGACUGAGACUGUAACUAUGGGAAUUAGUAAUCUAACUGACAUGCCCCAAAUAAGAUAAUAUAAUUGAGUUGGGGUCUAAUCUGUAACCCCAAUUAGAAGGGUGUCAAUAUCGCAUCACUGGUAAAGACAAGCUGUGAGUAAUCCCUCAUCUAACGAGUACUCUAAUGGGACCCUCAUAUAACAGGUUAAUCUACCUACAACUAGUAGGUUUGAUGUAUCAACUUAUGCUAACUAUGUAGUUCUGAAGUGCAAGGACUAUUUCUAAGAAUCACACCCUCUAAUAACAGGUGAGUUCCCAUCCUUGGACUCACUCAGUGCUGAAUCCUACUCCCAUCUGAAUAGACACUGAACAUGAUUAACUAAACUGUGCUGGACUACAUUCAUUUAGUUUCGUUGACUGACGGAACACUAUCGAGAUUACUGAAUUUCUGAGAUUACUGUGUUUACUAAGUUUUUCUGAGUAGCAUGACUGACUGAGUUCUAUGAAUCAUGGCUUAAAUGAGAGUAUCUGGAAAACAUGACACUGGCUCUAGGCAUAUAGCUAAAUUAUCGAGUAUAAGUACCCCCUGGACUUGAUAGUAUGAAACUGACAAGACAUGACACUUCUUAACACAUGACCAUAGUCAACAAUUCAUAGUACAAUCAUUGGGGAUUUUCAUGAAGUAUUUGCAUGCUAUAAACUUACGCAUAAAUAGAAAUACAUGUAAACAUAUCAUAAUUUCAUAAGCCUAAUCUCAUGACCAUUACUUCAAUCCAUUACAAAGCAUAACAAUAACGUGUGAGUCAUAGGAAGAGACAUGGAUUCAUUAAUUUUGGUCGCAAAUGAGUCAUAAGGCAUAAUUCCAAUUCUCUUAGGCAUUUUAUCAAACACCUUGCAUGCAUAUCUUUAGGCUUAGGCAUCAAUAUUGAAAUAAUACUUUAUGGCAACAUUUUACACUUUCAAUGCAAAAAUUUCAACCAUAUACUAACAUAUUUUCAUGAUAGUCAUUAAAGAUUUCAACUUGGAAAUCAAACAACAACAUAAAUAUGGAUAUGAUUCAAUUCAUACCAUAGAAUCCAAAAUUUAUAUUUCAAAUAGGGUUUCUUGAGCUUUGUGGGUGAAAGAAACCCAUGAAUCAACAAUUGACAUACCUGGGUGGAUGAUUUCUUGAAGAUUGGUAGAGUAAAGCUUGAAGUCUUGACUUGGGAUUAGACACCUAGGUUUUCUUGUUCUUGGGGAUUGAUCUUUGAGAGAAACCCUAAUUUGGUGUUGUAGUUGAAUAAUGAAGUUAUGAGGUCUGGUCUGGAAUAAUUAAGGGUUAAAACGAUUGGAAAAAGACCCAAAUACCCUUUUAAAAAUGGCUUAAAAUCAUUGAUCGAAAGUGGCGACAGUUUGGGCAACGGUCCAUCACUGGCUCGUCGAUCCAUCCCAUCGUACUUAGCCAAAACCUAAACUUCCUGCCUAGUCUAUGACGGUUUGGGCAACAGUCCACCGCUAGCUCGAUGGUCUGUCGGUAUUAACCAUCGCACUUGUCCAGAUGAUGGGUUCACUACCUUAGUCGCGAUGGCUUGGGCGACGAUCUGUCACUAGCUCGAUGGUCCGUCGGCCUGACCAUCGCUUCUGGGUGGUUUUCAUAGCUCUCUGUAAAAUGUCCAUAACUUUUUACUUCGAUACCGAAUUUAGACGAAAUUGGUAUCAUUGGAAAGCUAAUUCAAUUUUUCACAUGAUAAAAAGUCAAAAUUGGAAAAAUUCUAUCUGAUUUAAAUAUUAAUUAUUUAGGUAGUCAUCACUAACUCUUAUGGAAACAAGAUUUGACUUAAAGAAAGUUCGGGAUAUUACAAUAAGAAUGGGUAUUAAGAAAUUUUUCUAUCGACUUAGAAUCAAAUAAGUGCUCACAUGAUACCGUCAUUUGAAUUGUGACAUUCUACUUCUUCGAAUCAUGUUGAGAUAAUAGGUAUUCCUCAAGUAAGUAGAGAAUGUAUAUAGUUUGGAUUGUGAUACUUUUAAUCAAAGUAAGAUGAGUCUUGAAGUGUCAAGGUAUUAUCCACGGUCCUAAAUAAAUGUAUGCAAAGCCCAAUUAAAAGGAGUUUUCAUAAUUAAAAAAAAAAGAUAAAAUGAAAUAUAUUUUACCAAAAUUAUCCUUCCUACGUAAUCUCCAAAAGAAUGGUAAAUUAAGAAGAUGGUAUACAAGACUGAAAUAUAGGGACUUGGAUGAUUGAAUCUUGAUCUUCAUCAAAGGGAGUAAAAUGCUCAUUUUACUUUUUUCCCCUUUAUCAAGGUUUUCUUUCAAUGAAUUUUCUUAAUAAAGUUUUAAUGAAACAACUAGCAAAACAUAUUAUAAGAUAUGCAUACUUUUUCUCUUUACUAGAUUUUUUUCAAUGUAUUUUAUUUUAAUAAAUUUAACGAGACAUAUAAUCUAUUAGUGAACAUCGAAGGGGGAGUGUUGUGAAUACUCUUAAUUAUGAAUAUCCAUUUAUUAAUCACCACCACAGCUUACAAGCAAAUUACAAGUAGCUUUGCAAACAAGUUCUUACAAAUACUUCCUCAGUUUCAAAAUAAGUGGCACUUUUAACUCAUUUCACAUUCAUUAAAUAAAAUAAAUAAAAUAGAAGAAGUAGUUUACUAAGGUAUCCGCAUUUAUUAGUUACUGUAUCUUUAAAAUUGAAGACUAUUAAGAAAAAGCUCUUUAAUGCAAGAGUAUAGUUGUAAAAAUGUAUUAAUUUUUAUAUUGAAUCUAUUGUAUGGUAUGUGCUAGACUAUGAUGAAAGUGACACUUAUUUUAUAACAUUUUUUGGCUAAUGUGUCACUUAUUUUGAGAUUGAGAAAAUAACUUACAAGUAACUUUACAAACAGAUUUCUACAAGCAGCUUAAAGUCAUUUUGCAAGCAGAUUUCUAUAAGCAGCUUAAAAAUAGGUUUGCAAAUAGUGUCCUGCUUCUAUUAUUAUGUAAAUUGAAAGACAAUUCAAUUAAUUUGUAUGUCAGUUUCAGUAUUAAAAAAUAAUGUCUCUCUCGCUCUAAAUUUAUCUCUGUCUUUCAAAUGUAUUUACUUUAUAAUUUUUAUUUUAUAACAUAUUAAAUAUUUUUCUUAAAAUAUGAGUUACGUCUUUAAAAAAUUAUAAUAUGGACCAAAAAUACUACAACAAUUAGAGUAAAAAAGAUGAACUCGCAAUACAUUUGAAUUAAUGAGGGUCAAAGAUAAGUUCAUUAAGGGUUUCUUGGGAAAGGUAGAACUUCUUAGUUUUACAAAAUCAAAUAAAAUCUUACAACUUAUUUAAGAUUUCAUAAUUAACAUUAAAAUAUCAUAUACUCUAAUACUUAUUUUAACAUCAAGUCAAACAUAUUCUCUUAGAUUAAAUAAUUACUUGCAAUAUUUUUUUUUCUACUUUAUUUAAAAAUUAUACAAGCUAAUAGAUUUAAAUUAUAAAUAUUUAUUUAUUAACAUUUUAUAUAGAAUCAUACGAAGAAACAAAAGAUACUAAUUAAUACAUAAAUUGAUUUUAAAUCCAUUUAGAUUCGUUUAUGGUUGUUUAACAAACAAAAAUAAGGACCUACUGGAUGAACAUUUUAAUAAAUCAUAAUGUUAAAGGAUUGCCUUUAUGUCUUGUCUUAUAUAAAUUAAAAAUAAGAGAUCAAUUUAAUAUAGUAAGUAAGAAAUUUCUUUUUAAAUAAGCUGUCUACAUGAUGAGACAAUUUACUACCUCAAAUAAAGAGAAGCAAAAGAAUUAACAAGCUUUAACAUGAUCUAUAUUUUAGUAAUUUAACAUGAGAUAGUUAAUAUUACAUUUUAAAUAAGUUGUUUAAAAUAAUUUUAAUAGGUGCUGAGUAAAUAAUUACGUUUUCAUAAAUUAAAUAUAGUGCAAAUCUUUGUAAUGAUAUGUAUCAUGUGAAGUUGUGAAAUUAUGGAGGAAUCGCUUAUUGUGUUUGAUAGAUAAACACCUAUUCAAAAUUAAUGAGUAUUUUUUAUUAUCUUACUAUAAUAUUUUAAUAGUUAUUUAUGCAAUUAAAUGUGUGGCCAAAAUUACUUUCACAUUUUUAUUUUUUUAUGAAACAUAUGUGAGUAUUUGCACACCCUUCUAUAAACUACGUCACCCAAUAUUUCAAUUUAUAUAACCUUGAGUAAACAUCGAAUUCAAGAUACGUGAAAAAACUUCACAAUAUUUAUUCUGUGAUUUUGGAUAAGAGGAGAGAAAGUUUGUCUAAAUAUCAAAAUUAAAAAAAAAAAUUAAAUGGAACAAACUUCAAAUAUAAUUUCUCUUUAAAUUUAAAAUUAUUCUUUUCAUUUGAUUCAAGUAUAUUAUUUAAAUAAAUAAGAAAAAAAGAAGGGAUAAUAGUUCAAAAAAUACCUGUCCUUUGAAUAAAUUUGUAGUUGCGCAUACUGAACUUUGCGGGGGUCCUAUGACACCCCUGAACUAUUUAAAACUGAAAUUAUAAGACCUCUAAAGGCUGACAUGGCAAAGAGAGUGUGUCUCACUUCUUUAAGAGAGUGAGCACCAAAAAAUUAUUGAAGCUUUAUUUUUAAUAUAUAUAUAUAUAUAUAUAUAUAUAUAUAUAUAUAUAUAUAUUAAGUUCUUUCUUCUUUCUUUCACCAUACCCAAAAUCUCUCCACCACCACCCACCAAUGCAGCAGUAGCCACCAGCGUCAUCUCCGCCAUUUGACCACUUCUUCACCUUCUUUCAUUUUCCUCCCAUAUAAAUCUUCAACCUUUUCUCUUUUUUCAUUGCCCAAUUUUUUUUAAAAUCUUGUCAAAAUUUUAAGAAUUAAGAAUCUAACAUCAAAAAAAUUAAGAAUCUUUAAAUUAUGAACUUCAUCUCACUUAUCACAAUGAUGAUAGUGUAAUUUUUGAAUCUUCAAAACCCACCAUCAAAUUCUAAAUUACACCACAAAAAUAUUACCUUCAUAAUUCAAAUUAUGAAUUUUAUCUCACCCACCAUCACCACCCCAUUAGCUGUCACUGCCACUGCCACCCCUACUCUCACCCUCUCUUAUCAAAUUUGGAGUGGAAUUAAGAAAUUAAAUCUAAUGAAGAAGAAAUUGAAUAGUAGAAAUCUCUAAAUUCAAGUCAAUCUUUGCUAGAUGUGUAUUGGUGAAUUUAUCAAAUUGUAAACAAAUUCUAUCAUUAUUGUACUUAUUCUUCUUGUACGAUCAUAAAUUCAACAUCAAUUUUUGUAGUUUAUAAAUUAAAAGGAAAGAAAAGAAACAAAAAAGAUUGGCAGGUGGAUAUUCACGUUUUGAUUUCUGAAAUUGAAGAAAAUGAUAGAAAGAGAAAGAAAAAAGAUUUAAUGAGUAUUUUCAUUUUGACUUUUGAGAUUAAAGAAAACAAGAUGAAGAGAAAGGGAGAAAAGAGUUUGAGAUUAAAGAAAAUAAGAUGAAGAGAAAGGGA
This 11031-nucleotide long non-coding RNA is filed under the name Capsicum annuum. RNAcentral describes it as "long non-coding RNA (CANN_LNC010134)". Lineage: Eukaryota; Viridiplantae; Streptophyta; Magnoliopsida; Solanales; Solanaceae. The record is from RNAcentral.